Acanthochromis polyacanthus (spiny chromis) is the source of this 85-nucleotide small nucleolar RNA. The record is from Ensembl. Lineage: Eukaryota; Metazoa; Chordata; Actinopteri; Pomacentridae.
UGCAAAUGAUGCUUUUUCUCACGAUGGUCUUCCAAGCUCAGGAAGCUCUGACGAUACUGCCUUUGGCAAACACUGAUGCAGCUUA